RNAcentral lists this ribosomal RNA (956 nucleotides) under Psychrobacter sp. 27F07n-MB1-6b. Its description in RNAcentral is "bacterial SSU rRNA". It matches the Rfam family "Bacterial small subunit ribosomal RNA", at positions 495 to 1452 of the family's 1533-position model. Lineage: Bacteria; Pseudomonadati; Pseudomonadota; Gammaproteobacteria; Moraxellales; Moraxellaceae. The record is from RNAcentral.
GGCUAACUCUGUGCCAGCAGCCGCGGUAAUACAGAGGGUGCAAGCGUUAAUCGGAAUUACUGGGCGUAAAGCGAGCGUAGGUGGCUUGAUAAGUCAGAUGUGAAAUCCCCGGGCUUAACCUGGGAACUGCAUCUGAUACUGUUAGGCUAGAAUAGGUGAGAGGAAGGUAGAAUUUCAGGUGUAGCGGUGAAAUGCGUAGAGAUCUGGAGGAAUACCGAUGGCGAAGGCAGCCUUCUGGCAUCAUACUGACACUGAGGCUCGAAAGCGUGGGUAGCAAACAGGAUUAGAUACCCUGGUAGUCCACGCCGUAAACGAUGUCUACUAGUCGUUGGGUCCCUUGAGGACUUAGUGACGCAGCUAACGCAAUAAGUAGACCGCCUGGGGAGUACGGCCGCAAGGUUAAAACUCAAAUGAAUUGACGGGGGCCCGCACAAGCGGUGGAGCAUGUGGUUUAAUUCGAUGCAACGCGAAGAACCUUACCUGGUCUUGACAUACCCAGAAUCUUGUAGAGAUACGGGAGUGCCUUCGGGAAUUAGAAUACAGGUGCUGCAUGGCUGUCGUCAGCUCGUGUCGUGAGAUGUUGGGUUAAGUCCCGCAACGAGCGCAACCCUUGUCCUUAGUUACCAGCGGGUUAAGCCGGGAACUCUAAGGAUACUGCCAGUGACAAACUGGAGGAAGGCGGGGACGACGUCAAGUCAUCAUGGCCCUUACGACCAGGGCUACACACGUGCUACAAUGGUAGGUACAGAGGGCAGCUACACAGCGAUGUGAUGCGAAUCUUUCAAAGCCUAUCGUAGUCCAGAUUGGAGUCUGCAACUCGACUCCAUGAAGUAGGAAUCGCUAGUAAUCGCGGAUCAGAAUGCCGCGGUGAAUACGUUCCCGGGCCUUGUACACACCGCCCGUCACACCAUGGGAGUUGAUUGCACCAGAAGUGGUUAGCCUAACGUAAGAGGGCG